This 73-nucleotide transfer RNA is filed under the name Trichonephila clavipes. It matches the Rfam family "tRNA". Rfam says of the family: Transfer RNA (tRNA) molecules are approximately 80 nucleotides in length. Their secondary structure includes four short double-helical elements and three loops (D, anti-codon, and T loops). The record is from Rfam by way of RNAcentral. Lineage: Eukaryota; Metazoa; Arthropoda; Arachnida; Araneae; Nephilidae.
GCCUGGCUAGUAGGGUGGAUAUGACCCUCGGCUUGUAACCGAGUGGGCUCGGGUUCGAAUUCCGAAUAAGGCA